GGGUUGUGAGGUUAAGCGACUAAGCGUACACGGUGGCAUGCCCUGGCAGUCAGAGGCGAUGAAGGACGUGCUAAUCUGCGAAAAGCGU
Molecule: ribosomal RNA, 88 nt
Filed under: Klebsiella pneumoniae
Lineage: Bacteria; Pseudomonadati; Pseudomonadota; Gammaproteobacteria; Enterobacterales; Enterobacteriaceae
Description: partial 23S ribosomal RNA
Source: RNAcentral